This is a long non-coding RNA of Hemicordylus capensis (graceful crag lizard), 463 nucleotides long. RefSeq lists it as uncharacterized. The transcript is spliced from 2 exons. Lineage: Eukaryota; Metazoa; Chordata; Lepidosauria; Squamata; Cordylidae. The record is from RefSeq and is a predicted model, not a curated record.
CACAGACUGGAGGCAUACUUGCCUUUGUGUUAAUGCAGAAGAAAGCAAAUAUGGCUAUUGAGUUCGUUUCCUCCUAGCCAGAGAUGGUACUUAUUCAUCAUAAUCAAGUGCCAAAUCUCAGAACAUGCUGACUUCCUUGCAACAUUUUCGGAAAUUGCUUUGGAGUUAAGGGAGCGUGAAGACCUGCCAUUUGCAAAACUUUCUUUAGAGAACGGGAGGAGAAGCCUACAGUGUGUUGCAGAGCACGGCCCAGUUCGCGAAUCUUACUUCCUGGUUUGGGCCUGAACAUAUUUUGAGUGAAUAAGCUGUUUAUGAACAUCGACAAGAUUUCCAAAGUGUGUGUUAUUGACUGGUUAGCAUUAGAAUGAGAAACGCUCUGUCUGAGAGAGCUUAUAUAUGACAAGGGCUGACAUCCAUACUAAAUUACUCCUGAGUAGUCCUAUUAAAAUUAGGUAGUCUUUUA